CGCGGAGUGGAGCAGUUGGCAGCUCGUCGGGCUCAUAACCCGAAGGUCGUAGGUUCAAGUCCUGCCUCCGCAA
This is a transfer RNA of 73 nucleotides. It matches the Rfam family "tRNA". From Rfam's summary of the family: Transfer RNA (tRNA) molecules are approximately 80 nucleotides in length. Their secondary structure includes four short double-helical elements and three loops (D, anti-codon, and T loops). Further hydrogen bonds mediate the characteristic L-shaped molecular structure. tRNAs have two regions of fundamental functional importance: the anti-codon, which is responsible for specific mRNA codon recognition, and the 3' end, to which the tRNAs corresponding amino acid is attached (by aminoacyl-tRNA synthetases). tRNAs cope with the degeneracy of the genetic code in two manners: having more than one tRNA (with a specific anti-codon) for a particular amino acid; and 'wobble' base-pairing, i.e. permitting non-standard base-pairing at the 3rd anti-codon position. The record is from Rfam.